GCAGUCUUGGCCGAGUGGUUAAGCCGAUGGAUUAGAAAUCCAUUGGUGUGUCCUCACACAGGUUCGAAUCCUCUUGACUGCG
Ixodes scapularis (black-legged tick) is the source of this 82-nucleotide non-coding RNA. The record is from Rfam. NCBI's taxonomy places the organism in Eukaryota, Metazoa, Arthropoda, Arachnida, Ixodida, Ixodidae.